UACGUAGGGUCCGAGCGUUGUCCGGAAUUACUGGGCGUAAAGCGCGCGCAGGCGGCCCGCGAGGUGUCACGUGAAAGCCCCGGGCUCAACCCGGGAGGGUCGUGGCGAACCGGCGGGCUUGAGGCCGGUAGAGGUGGGUGGAACUCCUGGUGGAGUGGUGAAAUGCGUAGAGAUCAGGAAGAACACCCGUGGCGAAGGCGGCCCACUGGGCCGGUACUGACGCUGAGGCGCGAAGGCGUGGGGAGCGAACGGG
Molecule: ribosomal RNA, 253 nt
Filed under: uncultured bacterium
Lineage: Bacteria
Description: partial 16S ribosomal RNA
Rfam family: Bacterial small subunit ribosomal RNA
Source: RNAcentral